GACGAACCGUGCGAACGUUAUUCGGAAUCACUGGGCUUAAAGCGCGUGUAGGCGGGAGCGCACGUCCGGGGCUGAAAUCCCCCGGCUCAACCGGGGAACGGGCGCGGAUACGACGCUCCUGGAGGGGCGUAGGGGGACCUGGAACUUCCGGUGGAGCGGUGAAAUGCGUUGAGAUCGGAAGGAACGCCCGUGGCGAAAGCGAGGUCCUGGACGCCUACUGACGCUGAGACGCGAAAGCCAGGGGAGCGAACGGG
Molecule: ribosomal RNA, 254 nt
Filed under: uncultured bacterium
Lineage: Bacteria
Description: partial 16S ribosomal RNA
Rfam family: Bacterial small subunit ribosomal RNA
Source: RNAcentral